CCCAUGAUGGCACAUAUAGAACUCUAAAACACAUUUCUACACCAUGACACUCGCCUUCACCAUAGUAAUUUCUUAGAAACUUAUUGCGAUGACAAGGUGAAAACUCCAAUGAUCUAAGAAAUUCCUCCGAAAUAGAGGUUCUGAUACCAAUCGUUGGGACACUUAUAGUCCGAGCCUAGGAAAACAUUCAAUCAAACUCUUCUCCUUUCAAAAACUUAAAACCGUCAAGUGAUGAGCCAACAAUAUUUAUCAACUGUUCAGUCCUUCACUAAUUACCUGAUGUAGGAAUGAUUUAUCCCUAACAACCUCAAUCUGGUUCUUCAGCCCUGACCGGGAAUGAGGGCUCUUCUGACCUGUACUAAAAUUAGCCGCUCACGGUCCUGCCCUCUCAACGAAUAAAGAAAGCUAUUAAUGCAUGGCAUAUAUUGUCUUUCUUGAUCACACGCUAACACAGAAGACCUCUCGGUCCAAGGCAUUGGCAAUCAUUAUGAGCGAUAGAGGACAACUUGAUGGUGAAAGAUUAUGGUCCUAGAGAGAGAGAGAGAGAGAGAUGGGUUGCUUUUGGGUACUCCCGACUUAUAUUAGCUCCUCAUCAGCCGUUAGAUCAUGUAAAUCUGGCAUAGUUACCACCAGAUCUAAUGGCCUAGUUGAAGUGAACUAACAUAAGCUCGUAGUACCUCAUCAUUUUCCCAAACAAACAGUUGCUCCAUCUUUGCUGUUAUCAUACACGAAAGAGAACUCUGAAAAAACAAGCAGUACUAAUCACAUCAGAAUCACUAAAUGACUAUAUUUUGAUUUUAGUGUUGAAGAAGCUUUAUGCAGAGUGACUCAGCAUCACUAAAACACACCAACAAGAACAGAGGCUCAUAUCACAGAGCAAAAGUUAACUGUUCAAAUCGCCAACUGAGCAUAUUCCGACAAAGAUUUACAGGGUAUAGAAUUUUGUAUAUUUUUCCAACUGCACAUCAGAGUCUCGCAUUUGAUCUAUUCAGUCUGGCAUCAGGAUUUAUCACCACUCAUCAUCAAGGCUGGCACGGUGAAAGCACAUUACUGUGAAGACAAAUAUGAUGAAAGAUGUAAACUCGAUGAACAUAGCUCCCGUGUUAAUCAGAUCAGCGUGUCUGAGGAUAAUAGGAAUAGCAAA
Molecule: long non-coding RNA, 1144 nt
Organism: Syzygium oleosum
Lineage: Eukaryota; Viridiplantae; Streptophyta; Magnoliopsida; Myrtales; Myrtaceae
Exons: 2
Source: RefSeq, a predicted model, not a curated record